ACGGAGGUCCCGAGCGUUGUUCGGAAUUACUGGGCGUAAAGGGAGCGCAGGCGGACAGGUCAGUCUGAAGUGGAAAUCCGGGGCUCAACCUCGGACUUGCUUCGGAUACUGCUUGUCUUGAGUUCGUGAGAGGAAGAUAGAAUUCAGGGUGUAGCGGUGAAAUGCUCAGAUAUCCGGAGGAAUACCGGUGGCGAAAGCGGUCUUCUGGCACGAAACUGACGCUGAGGCUCGAAAGCGUGGGGAGCAAACUG
RNAcentral lists this ribosomal RNA (251 nucleotides) under uncultured prokaryote. RNAcentral's name for it is "partial 16S rRNA". It matches the Rfam family "Bacterial small subunit ribosomal RNA", at positions 525 to 775 of the family's 1533-position model. The record is from RNAcentral.